AGUGAACGCUGGCGGUAGGCCUAACACAUGCCAGUCGAACGGCGGCACAGUAAGAGCUUGCUCUUACGGGUGGCGAGUGGCGGACGGGUGAGGAAUACAUCGGAAUCUACUUUUUCGUGGGGGAUAACGUAGGGAAACUUACGCUAAUACCGCAUACGACCUACGGGUGAAAGCAGGGGAUUUUCGGACCUUGCGCGAUUGAAUGAGCCGAUGUCGGAUUAGCUAGUUGGCGGGGUAAAGGCCCACCAAGGCGACGAUCCGUAGCUGGUCUGAGAGGAUGAUCAGCCACACUGGAACUGAGAAACGGUACAGACUCCUACGGGAGGCAGCAGUGGGGAAUAUUGGACAAUGGGCGCAAGCCUGAUCCAGCCAUACCGCGUGGGUGAAGAAGGCCUUCGGGUUGUAAAGCCCUUUUGUUGGGAAAGAAAAGCAGCAGGUUAAUACCCCGCUGUUCUGACGGUACCCAAAGAAUAAGCACCGGCUAACUUCGUG
RNAcentral lists this ribosomal RNA (492 nucleotides) under uncultured bacterium. RNAcentral describes it as "partial 16S ribosomal RNA". It matches the Rfam family "Bacterial small subunit ribosomal RNA", at positions 29 to 507 of the family's 1533-position model. The record is from RNAcentral.